RNAcentral lists this ribosomal RNA (2934 nucleotides) under Pseudoalteromonas piscicida. RNAcentral's name for it is "23S ribosomal RNA". It matches the Rfam family "Bacterial large subunit ribosomal RNA". The record is from RNAcentral. Lineage: Bacteria; Pseudomonadati; Pseudomonadota; Gammaproteobacteria; Alteromonadales; Pseudoalteromonadaceae.
GGUUAAGUGACUAAGCGUACACGGUGGAUGCCUUGGCAGUUGGAGGCGAUGAAGGACGUACUAACUUGCGAUAAGCCUAGUCAAGCCAGUAAGAGGCGCUUGAGACUAGGAUUUCCGAAUGGGGAAACCCACCUGCUUGCAGGUAUCGUUAACUGAAUACAUAGGUUAACGAGGCGAACGCGGAGAACUGAAACAUCUAAGUACCCGUAGGAAAAGAAAUCAACCGAGAUUCCGAAAGUAGCGGCGAGCGAAAUCGGACCAGCCCUUAAGCUUUAGUGUAGUUAGUGGAACAUGCUGGAAAGCAUGACGAAACAGGGUGAUAGUCCCGUACACAAAAACUUAUCUAAAGUGAAAUCGAGUAGGUCGGAGCACGUGAAACUUUGACUGAAUAUGGGGGGACCAUCCUCCAAGGCUAAAUACUCCCAACUGACCGAUAGUGAACCAGUACCGUGAGGGAAAGGCGAAAAGAACCCCUGUGAGGGGAGUGAAAUAGAACCUGAAACCGUGUACGUACAAGCAGUAGGAGCCUACUUGUUGGGUGACUGCGUACCUUUUGUAUAAUGGGUCAGCGACUUAUAUUCUGUAGCGAGGUUAACCAUUUAGGGGAGCCGUAGCGAAAGCGAGUCUUAACUGGGCGCUUAAGUUGCAGGGUAUAGACCCGAAACCCGGUGAUCUAGCCAUGGGCAGGUUGAAGGUUGAGUAACAUCAACUGGAGGACCGAACCCACUAACGUUGAAAAGUUAGGGGAUGACCUGUGGCUAGGAGUGAAAGGCUAAUCAAACCGGGAGAUAGCUGGUUCUCCCCGAAAUCUAUUUAGGUAGAGCCUCGGACGAAUACUUACGGGGGUAGAGCACUGUUAAGGCUAGGGGGUCAUCCCGACUUACCAACCCUUUGCAAACUCCGAAUACCGUAAAGUAAUAUCCGGGAGACACACGGCGGGUGCUAACGUCCGUCGUGGAGAGGGAAACAACCCAGACCGUCAGCUAAGGUCCCAAAGUGUAUGUUAAGUGGGAAACGAUGUGGGAAGGCUAAAACAGCUAGGAGGUUGGCUUAGAAGCAGCCACCCUUUAAAGAAAGCGUAAUAGCUCACUAGUCGAGUCGGCCUGCGCGGAAGAUGUAACGGGGCUAAACAUACCACCGAAGCUACGGCUGCAGACUUUGUCUGCGGGGUAGGGGAGCGUUCUGUAAGUGGCUGAAGGUGUGCCGGGAGGCAUGCUGGACAUAUCAGAAGUGCGAAUGCUGACAUGAGUAACGACAAGAGGAGUGAAAAACUCCUCCGCCGGAAGACCAAGGGUUCCUAUCCCAUGUUAAUCAGGGUAGGGUGAGUCGACCCCUAAGGCGAGGCUGAAGAGCGUAGUCGAUGGGAAACGGGUUAAUAUUCCCGUACUCGGUAUGAAUGCGAUGGGGGGACGGAGCAGGCUAGGCAAGCAUGGCGUUGGUUGUCCAUGUGAAAGGCUGUAGGCUGGCGANNNNNNNNNNNNNNNNNNNNNNNNNNNNNNNNNNNNNNNNNNNNNNNNNNNNNNNNNNNNNNNNNNNNNNNNNNNNNNNNNNNNNNNNNNNNNNNNNAAGGUGGUGAAGUUGUUGAUGCCCUACUUCCAGGAAAAGCCUCUAAGCUUCAGUUCAUACUGAAUCGUACCCUAAACCGACACAGGUGGUCAGGUAGAGAAUACUAAGGCGCUUGAGAGAACUCGGGUGAAGGAACUAGGCAAAAUUGUACCGUAACUUCGGGAGAAGGUACGCUCUUGUUUGUGAAAGACUUGCUCUGUAAGCAAACGAGAGCCGCAGUGACCAGGUGGCUGGGACUGUUUAUUAAAAACACAGCACUGUGCAAAAUCGUAAGAUGACGUAUACGGUGUGACACCUGCCCGGUGCCGGAAGGUUAAUUGAUGGGGUUAGCUUAGGCGAAGCUCUUGAUCGAAGCCCCGGUAAACGGCGGCCGUAACUAUAACGGUCCUAAGGUAGCGAAAUUCCUUGUCGGGUAAGUUCCGACCUGCACGAAUGGUGUAACCAUGGCCACGCUGUCUCCACCCGAGACUCAGUGAAAUUGAAAUCGCAGUGAAGAUGCUGUGUACCCGCGGCUAGACGGAAAGACCCCGUGAACCUUUACUACAGCUUGGCACUGAACAUUGACCCUACAUGUGUAGGAUAGGUGGGAGGCUUUGAAGCAGAGACGCUAGUUUCUGUGGAGCCGACCUUGAAAUACCACCCUUGUAGUGUUGAUGUUCUAACUUAGGCCCCUGAAUCGGGGUUGAGGACAGUGCCUGGUGGGUAGUUUGACUGGGGCGGUCUCCUCCCAAAGAGUAACGGAGGAGCACGAAGGUUUGCUAAGUACGGUCGGACAUCGUACGGUUAGUGUAAUGGUAGAAGCAAGCUUAACUGCGAGACAGACACGUCGAGCAGGUACGAAAGUAGGUCAUAGUGAUCCGGUGGUUCUGAAUGGAAGGGCCAUCGCUCAACGGAUAAAAGGUACUCCGGGGAUAACAGGCUGAUACCGCCCAAGAGUUCAUAUCGACGGCGGUGUUUGGCACCUCGAUGUCGGCUCAUCACAUCCUGGGGCUGAAGUCGGUCCCAAGGGUAUGGCUGUUCGCCAUUUAAAGUGGUACGCGAGCUGGGUUUAGAACGUCGUGAGACAGUUCGGUCCCUAUCUGCCGUGGGCGUUUGAGAAUUGAGAGGGGCUGCUCCUAGUACGAGAGGACCGGAGUGGACGAACCGCUGGUGUUCGGGUUGUGAUGCCAAUUGCAUUGCCCGGUAGCUACGUUCGGAACUGAUAACCGCUGAAAGCAUCUAAGCGGGAAGCAGGCCUCGAGAUGAGUUCUCACUUUGACUUAGAGUCAACUGAAGGGCCGUUGAAGACUACAACGUUGAUAGGCGAGAUGUGGAAGUGCUGUGAGGCAUUAAGCUAACUCGUACUAAUUACCCGUGAGGCUUAACCAU